GCCAUUUUGGCUUAGUGGAUAGAGCAUUGGCCUGUGGACCAAAGGGCCCCGGGUUCAAUUCCGGUCAAGGGCA
Non-coding RNA from Myotis davidii, 73 nucleotides. The record is from Rfam. NCBI's taxonomy places the organism in Eukaryota, Metazoa, Chordata, Mammalia, Chiroptera, Vespertilionidae.